CAGUCGCCGCGGGAAUACGUAGGGUGCAAGCGUUGUCCGGAAUUAUUGGGCGUAAAGAGCUCGUAGGCGGUUUGUCGCGUCUGCUGUGAAAUCUGGGGGCUCAACCCCCAGCCUGCAGUGGGUACGGGCAGACUAGAGUGCGGUAGGGGAGAUUGGAAUUCCUGGUGUAGCGGUGGAAUGCGCAGAUAUCAGGAGGAACACCGAUGGCGAAGGCAGAUCUCUGGGCCGUAACUGACGCUGAGGAGCGAAAGCAUGGGGAGCGAACAGGAUUAGAUACCCCUGUAGUCCCUGUCUCUUAUAC
Molecule: ribosomal RNA, 301 nt
Filed under: uncultured bacterium
Lineage: Bacteria
Description: partial 16S ribosomal RNA
Rfam family: Bacterial small subunit ribosomal RNA
Source: RNAcentral